UGUCUUUUUGAAAAUAAUAUAAAGUCUAAUCUGCCCACUGAUUUUAAUUAAAGGGCUGCAGUAUAUUGACUGUACAAAGGUAGCAUAAUCAUUAGUCAUUUAAUUGGUGACUUGUAUGAAAGAUUGGAUGAAAUAUAAACUGUCUCUUAAUUAUUUAUAGAAUUUAAUUUUUUAAUUAAAAAGUUAAAAUAUAUUAAAAAGACGAGAAGACCCUAUAGAGUUUUAUAAAUAAAAUUAAUUAAGAUUAUUUAUAAAAUUAAAAUUAAAAUUGAUUUAUUUAUUAUGUUGGGGUGACAGAAAAAUAUAGAAAACUUUUUAUAUAUUUAUAUAAACAUUGAUAAGUGGUUAAAUGAUCCAAUUUUAUUGAUUAUAAGAAAAAAUUACCUUAGGGAUAACAGCGUAAUUUUUUUUUUUAGUUCAGAUAAAAAAAAGAGUUUGCGACCUCGAUGUUGGAUUAAGAUAAAAUUUAAAUGCAGAAG
RNAcentral lists this ribosomal RNA (479 nucleotides) under Sesamia sp. SEKEG4841. Its description in RNAcentral is "partial 16S large subunit ribosomal RNA". Lineage: Eukaryota; Metazoa; Arthropoda; Insecta; Lepidoptera; Noctuidae. The record is from RNAcentral.